GCCGGGCAUGGUGGAGCAUGCCUGUAAUCCCGGAGGCUGAGGCAGGAGGAUUGUGAGUUCAAAGCCAGCCUCAGCAAUGGCAAGGUGCUAGGCAACUCAAUGAGACCCUGGCUCUA
RNAcentral lists this small RNA (116 nucleotides) under Marmota monax (woodchuck). The record is from RNAcentral. Lineage: Eukaryota; Metazoa; Chordata; Mammalia; Rodentia; Sciuridae.